This 253-nucleotide ribosomal RNA is filed under the name uncultured bacterium. Its description in RNAcentral is "partial 16S ribosomal RNA". It matches the Rfam family "Bacterial small subunit ribosomal RNA", at positions 524 to 776 of the family's 1533-position model. The record is from RNAcentral.
UACGUAGGGUGCGAGCGUUGUCCGGAAUUAUUGGGCGUAAAGGGCUCGUAGGCGGUCUGUCGCGUCGAAAGUGAAAACCCAGGGCUUAACCCUGGGCCUGCUUCCGAUACGGGCAGACUAGAGGUAUGCAGGGGAGAACGGAAUUCCUGGUGUAGCGGUGAAAUGCGCAGAUAUCAGGAGGAACACCGGUGGCGAAGGCGGGUCUCUGGGCCGAUACUGACGCUGAGGAGCGAAAGCGUGGGGAGCGAACAGG